AAUCUUCCGCAAUGGGCGAAAGCCUGACGGAGCAACGCCGCGUGUGUGAUGAAGGUCUUAGGAUCGUAAAACUCUGUUGCUAGGGAAGAACAAAUUUGUUAGUAACUGCACAAGUCUUGACGGUACCUAGCCAGAAAGCCACGUCACACUACGCGCCAGCAGCCGCGGUAAUACGUAGGUGGCAAGCGUUAUCCGGAAUUAUUGGGCGUAAAGCGCGCGUAGGCGGUUUCUUAAGUCUGAUGUGAAAGUCCACGGCUCAACCGUGGAAGGUCAUUGGAAACUGGGGAGCUUGAGUGCAGUAGAGGAGAGUGGAAUUCCAUGUGUAGCGGUGAAAUGCGCAGAGAUAUGAAGGAACACCAGUGGCGAAGGCGGCUCUCUGGUCUGUAACUGACGCUGAUGUGCGAAAGCGUGGGGAUCAAAC
Molecule: ribosomal RNA, 421 nt
Filed under: uncultured bacterium
Lineage: Bacteria
Description: partial 16S ribosomal RNA
Rfam family: Bacterial small subunit ribosomal RNA
Source: RNAcentral